GUGGGGAAUAUUGGGCAAUGGGCGCAAGCCUGACCCAGCAACGCCGCGUGAAGGAAGAAGGCUUUCGGGUUGUAAACUUCUUUUACCAGGGACGAAACAAAUGACGGUACCUGGUGAAUAAGCCACGGCUAACUACGUGCCAGCAGCCGCGGUAAUACGUAGGUGGCGAGCGUUAUCCGGAUUUAUUGGGUGUAAAGGGCGUGUAGGCGGGACAGCAAGUCAGAUGUGAAAACCAGAGGCUCAACCUCUGGCCUGCAUUUGAAACUGUUGUUCUUGAGUGUCGGAGAGGUAAUCGGAAUUCCGUGUGUAGCGGUGAAAUGCGUAGAUAUACGGAGGAACACCAGUGGCGAAGGCGGAUUACUGGACGAAAACUGACGCUGAGGCGCGAAAGCCAGGGGAGCGAACGGGAUUAGAUACCCUGGUAGUCC
Molecule: ribosomal RNA, 428 nt
Filed under: uncultured bacterium
Lineage: Bacteria
Description: partial 16S ribosomal RNA
Rfam family: Bacterial small subunit ribosomal RNA
Source: RNAcentral